UGGGGAAUAUUGCGCAAUGGGGGAAACCCUGACGCAGCGACGCCGCGUGCGGGAUGAAGGCCUUCGGGUUGUAAACCGCUUUUGAUUGGGAGCAAGCCUUUUGGGUGAGUGUACCUUUCGAAUAAGCGCCGGCUAACUACGUGCCAGCAGCCGCGGUAAUACGUAGGGCGCAAGCGUUAUCCGGAAUUAUUGGGCGUAAAGAGCUUGUAGGCGGUUCGUCGCGUCUGGUGUGAAAGCCCAUCGCUUAACGGUGGGUUUGCGCCGGGUACGGGCGGGCUAGAGUGCAGUAGGGGAGACUGGAAUUCCCGGUGUAACGGUGGAAUGUGUAGAUAUCGGGAAGAACACCAAUGGUGAAGGCAGGUCUCUGGGCUGUUACUGACGCUGAGAAGCGAAAGCGUGGGGAGCGAACAGG
This 412-nucleotide ribosomal RNA is filed under the name Verrucomicrobiota bacterium. RNAcentral's name for it is "Verrucomicrobia bacterium partial 16S ribosomal RNA". It matches the Rfam family "Bacterial small subunit ribosomal RNA", at positions 355 to 776 of the family's 1533-position model. The record is from RNAcentral. Lineage: Bacteria; Pseudomonadati; Verrucomicrobiota.